AGGGUGUUCACCGUACUACAGUAUUUUGUGUUAUACUUUUGGAGAAUCCUAGAUUGUGUAUAUAUAUAUAUUGAGAAAUAGUAUGGUAAAUAUUUAUACUCAGGAUGCAUUAUAUUCAAAUAUUCAUAAAAAUAAUUUUGAAAUAUUAUCAUUUGAAAACUUUCGUCUUCAUUGGGCCCUUGAACCACUUACUAGAUACUAGAUGGAGCUCUGCAAUAUUAAUAUCAAUAAUCAAAUGACCAAUAUGAUAUUGACACGAUCGAAUGAACCAUCCUCUUGUGACCAUUAGAUGUACAUCCCCUAGAUGUUUCACAGGUGACGCCAAUAAUUAUAAUAUCACAAUGACAAAUCAAGUAGUCCGUCCUCUCGGAAUCACCAAAGAGUGGACCACUUGCAACUUUCUCUAAGACAACGGAGUUCGCUAGUAAUAUGAACUUUCCUACUUUAAUGAGCAUGUUCUCAAUUACUCCUAGAAGAUAUGUAAUUGAUCGGUUUGCCAAUUGAAGAGAGAUUUUUGUAUCAUUGAGCUCAUCCAGGCCUGGUUUUCUGUAAACAAAAUAUGCAUUACGUUUAUACUUGCUCUAUAAUCACAAAUCAUUAAAAUUAGAGCUAUUUCCAAUUGAGCUAACCUUGAGGGUGGAUCCACUUAUUUGAACUGAUCCAAGGUACGCUUAUGCUUAUCCAAAAUGCAUGUAAAUAAUAAUGUACAAACCAAUGCAAAGUUGAUCAAAUAAUUAAAUUGUACAUUUGACUAAACACAGAUGCAUGAAAUGUCCAAACUAAACUAUUUUAAUUCAAUUAAUGAAUAUACACGGGACAUCUUAUUGAUACAUGUGUAUAUUUCUAUAAUUGAGAAUAUCAGAGUGAUGAGCCACCAACAAUUAUAUGCAACUCUAGAAAGAAAGUGUCGCUAAAUAAUCUAAUAGGCAUCAGGAAUUGAAAUCUUAGAUCAAAACACUAUGUAUGGAUGGUAUGAACUGUCCAAAUAAGAAUUCUUGAACAGCGCAGCAUUACGAGCUAUUCGUAGAAGUGGUAUACUAUUACCUUUCGUACGGGAUAGCGUGAAAGUAGACCCUCAAAAAGUCUAAGUCGGUGAUAUUUAGCGAAAGUAUGCAUAUAAUGAUAGAAAUCUAGAUAUUGUGAUUGAACGUACCAUUAAUUCUAAAUGAUUGUGGUAUUUUAUAUGACAAUCUUUGUAUUCGUCCUUAUAUUAUGGUAGUGAUGAUCUAUCGAUAUCCACUGGUUGAUGAAGAACAAUGUCUAUUAAGUGAAAUUAUCCAUAUUCACCAUUUUUAUUUUUUGUGUUUUUUUUUUUUUUUUUUUUUUUUGUAGUUAACUACAUAUGGAGUUAAUCAUUGGAAAAUUCGUCGAAAAUUUUUUAUUCUGUUUUUGUUUAUUUUACCAAUGAAUUAAAUCCUUUCCUCAUUUAAAAUAAAAAAAAAGGAAAAAGAAAAGAUCAGCGUUAAUUGUCAUCGAUAAAAC
This 1482-nucleotide long non-coding RNA is filed under the name Olea europaea subsp. europaea. Lineage: Eukaryota; Viridiplantae; Streptophyta; Magnoliopsida; Lamiales; Oleaceae. The record is from RNAcentral.